AUGCACCUCCUGCAAGAAGAGUGAGUGGGGGCCCUUCCUUGGGAAGCUGGGCUGGCUGAGUCAGAGGAGCCACUCAGAGCUCAGCAGGCAGGAGGGGGCCAAUGAGCGUCUUCAUCCCCGUCCCUCAGCACCUGAUUCAGAAACAGAGGGCUAAAAGAGCCAUAGAGAAGGGAGAGUCCCAACCUCUCAUUACAGAACUGUGAUCCCGAGGCCUGGAGAGGUCACCUACUUGUGUCAGGGUCUGAGUCAGAUUCUGAACGUAGGCCUUGCUUCUUGAAACAGCUUUCUCCAUAUACCCAGGUCCUGAUGUACUCGGCCCACAGGAUCUUGGGGUUUCUGACCGGCUGGGUCAGGCUUUUCCUGUAGUCAUCCUAGCGCUUCCCUGGCCCUCGCCAGAGCUGCUUUGUCAGGGGUUUGCCCUGUCUUGAGUGUUCUCAUUUCAUUGUAGAGUUCGGGAGACUUGGCUUUCCUUUACCACCCAGAGACCCAUGCCCUGCCUUUCCAGGCUCUCUGUCGUGUCGUCCUGAACUAAGGGUCCUGUGGGCUGGGGGCUAAGUCUGCUCUGACCUCUCAUUCUCCCCUUUGCUCCCCAGGCUGCUGCUCCUGCUGCCCCGUGGGCUGUGCCAAGUGUGCCCAGGG
RNAcentral lists this long non-coding RNA (639 nucleotides) under Marmota monax (woodchuck). Lineage: Eukaryota; Metazoa; Chordata; Mammalia; Rodentia; Sciuridae. The record is from RNAcentral.